AUUGAACGCUGGCGGCAGGCCUAACACAUGCAAGUCGAACGGUAACAGGAAGCAGCUUGCUGCUUCGCUGACGAGUGGCGGACGGGUGAGUCAUGUCUGGGAAGCUGCCUGAUGGAGGGGGAUAACUACUGGAAACGGUAGCUACUACCGCAUAAUGUCGCAAGACCAAAGAGCGGGACCUUCGAGCCUCUUGCCAUCGGAUGUGCCCAGAUGGGAUUAGCUUGUUGGUGGGGUCACGGCUCACCAAGGCGACGAUCUCUAGCUGGUCUGAGAGGAUGACCAGCCACACUGGAACUGAGACACGGUCCAGACUCCUACGGGAGGCAGCAGUGGGGAAUAUUGCACAAAGGGCGCAAGCCUGAUGCAGCCAUGCCGCGUGUAUGAAGAAGGCCUUCGGGUUGUAAAGUACUUUCAGCUGGGAGGAAGGGAGUAAAGUUAAUACCUUGGCUCAUUGACGUUACCCGCAGAAGAAGCACCGGCUAACUCCGUG
This 490-nucleotide ribosomal RNA is filed under the name uncultured bacterium. RNAcentral's name for it is "partial 16S ribosomal RNA". It matches the Rfam family "Bacterial small subunit ribosomal RNA", at positions 30 to 507 of the family's 1533-position model. The record is from RNAcentral.